RNAcentral lists this ribosomal RNA (1070 nucleotides) under uncultured dinoflagellate. RNAcentral's name for it is "SSU rRNA". It matches the Rfam family "Eukaryotic small subunit ribosomal RNA", at positions 577 to 1674 of the family's 1831-position model. Lineage: Eukaryota; Dinophyceae. The record is from RNAcentral.
CGGUAAUUCCAGCUCCAAUAGCGUAUAUUAAAAUUGUUGCGGUUAAAACGCUCGUAGUUGGAUAUUUGUUGAGAACUGCCGGUCUACCCCAGUGGUCAGCACACGGUUUGUUCUCGGCACUUUCCUGGGGAGAGUGUUUGCACUUCACUGUGUGGCACAUGAUCCAGAACUUUUACUUUGAGGAAAUGAGAGUGUUUCAAGCAGGCGCCUGUCGUGAAUACGUUAGCAUGGAAUAAUAGCAUGGGACCGCGGUCUGAAGCUGUUGGUUUUCGGGCCGUGGUAAUGAAAAUAGGGAUAGUUGGGGGUAUUCGUAUUUAACUGUCAGAGGUGAAAUUCUUGGAUUUUUUAAAGACGGACUACUGCGAAAGCAUCUGCCCAGGAUGUUUUUAUUGAUCAAGAACGAAAGUUAGGGGAUCGAAGACGAUCAGAUACCGUCCUAGUCUUAACCUUAAACCAUGCCGACUAGAGAUUUGGGUCGUCAGAAUCGUGACGCCCUGAGCACCUUAGGGGAAACCAAAGUCUUCGGGUUCCGGGGGGAGUAUGGUCGCAAGGCUGAAACUUAAAGGAAUUGACGGAAGGGCACCACCAGGAGUGGAGCCUGCGGCUUAAUUUGACUCAACACGGGGAAACUUACCAGGUCCGGACAUAGAGAGGAUUGACAGACUGAUAGCUCUUUCUUGAUUCUAUGGGUGGUGGUGCAUGGCCGUUCUUAGUUGGUGGAGUGAUUUGUCUGGUUAAUUCCGUUAACGAACGAGACCUUAACCUGCUAAAUAGUUUCCAGAACCAUAUAGUUUCAGGAUGAUUUCUUAGAGGGACUUUGUGUGUGUAACGUGAGGAAGUGUGAGGCAAUAACAGGUCUGUGAUGCCCUUAGAUGUUCUGGUCCGCACGCGCGCUACACUGAUGCGUUCAACGAGCUCCUAACCUACUCCGGAAGGAUUGGGCAACCUUGUGAAAGCGCAUCGUGAUGGGGAUAGAUUAUUGCAAUUAUUAAUCUUGAACGAGGAAUUCCUAGUAAGCGUAAUUCAUCGGAUUGCGCUGAUUACGUCCCUGCCCCUUGUACACACCGCCC